UGACGCUAGCGGCAGGCCUAACACAUGCAAGUCGAGGGGCAGCACAGAAAUAGCUUGCUAUUUGGGUGGCGACCGGCGCACGGGUGCGUAACGCGUAUGCAACCUACCUUAUACUGGGGUAUAGCCCGGAGAAAUUCGGAUUAAUCCCCCAUAGUAUUAUAGAUUGGCAUCGAUUUAUAAUUAAAGUAACAACGGUAUAAGAUGGGCAUGCGUCCUAUUAGCUAGAUGGUGUGGUAACGGCUCACCAUGGCGACGAUAGGUAGGGGGCCUGAGAGGGUAGUCCCCCACACUGGUACUGAGACACGGACCAGACUCCUACGGGAGGCGGCAGUGAGGAAUAUUGGUCAAUGGGCGCAAGCCUGAACCAGCCAUGCCGCGUGAAGGAAGAAGGUUCUAUGGAUUGUA
RNAcentral lists this ribosomal RNA (405 nucleotides) under uncultured bacterium. RNAcentral's name for it is "bacterial SSU rRNA". It matches the Rfam family "Bacterial small subunit ribosomal RNA", at positions 32 to 427 of the family's 1533-position model. The record is from RNAcentral.